UACGGAGGGUGCAAGCGUUAAUCGGAAUUACUGGGCGUAAAGCGUGCGCAGGCGUUUGUUAAGUCUGCUGUGAAAUCCCCGAGCUCAACUUGGGAAUUGCAGUGGAUACUGGCAGGCUGGAGUAUGGUAGAGGAAGGUGGAAUUCCCGGUGUAGCAGUGAAAUGCGUAGAGAUCGGGAGGAACACCAGUGGCGAAGGCGGCCUUCUCGGACCAAUAC
Molecule: ribosomal RNA, 217 nt
Filed under: uncultured bacterium
Lineage: Bacteria
Description: partial 16S ribosomal RNA
Rfam family: Bacterial small subunit ribosomal RNA
Source: RNAcentral